GGCGGUGUAGCUCAGUUGGUAGAGCAGCGGACUCAUAAGCCGCGGGUCUCCCGUUCAAUCCGGGACACCGCCA
RNAcentral lists this transfer RNA (73 nucleotides) under Nitrospira lenta. It matches the Rfam family "tRNA". From Rfam's summary of the family: Transfer RNA (tRNA) molecules are approximately 80 nucleotides in length. Their secondary structure includes four short double-helical elements and three loops (D, anti-codon, and T loops). The record is from Rfam by way of RNAcentral. Lineage: Bacteria; Pseudomonadati; Nitrospirota; Nitrospiria; Nitrospirales; Nitrospiraceae.